RNAcentral lists this ribosomal RNA (447 nucleotides) under uncultured soil bacterium. Its description in RNAcentral is "bacterial SSU rRNA". It matches the Rfam family "Bacterial small subunit ribosomal RNA", at positions 26 to 518 of the family's 1533-position model. The record is from RNAcentral.
AGAACGAACGCUGGCGGCAGGCCUAACACAUGCAAGUCGAACGCCCUAGCAAUAGGGAGUGGCAGACGGGUGAGUAACGCGUGGGAACCUUCCCUAUAGUACGGAAUAUACCAGGGAAACUUGGAGCAAUACCGUAUACGCCCGAAAGGGGAAAGAUUUAUCGCUAUAGGAUGGGCCCGCGUAGGAUUAGCUAGUUGGUGAGGUAAUGGCUCACCAAGGCGACGAUCCUUAGCUGGUCUGAGAGGAUGAUCAGCCACACUGGGACUGAGACACGGCCCAGACUCCUACGGGAGGCAGCAGUGGGGAAUAGUUGGGCAAGUGGGCGCAAGCCUGACCCAGCCAUGCCGCGUGAGUGACGACGGCCUUAGGGUUGUAAAGCUCUUUGGCGGGACGAUAAUGACGGUACCCGCAGAAGUAAGCCCCGGCUAACUUCGUGCCAGCAGCCGC